RNAcentral lists this transfer RNA (61 nucleotides) under Cyamus erraticus. Its description in RNAcentral is "tRNA-Leu". Lineage: Eukaryota; Metazoa; Arthropoda; Malacostraca; Amphipoda; Cyamidae. The record is from RNAcentral.
UCUAAUGUGACAGACAAAAUGUGCUAGUUUUAAGAACUAUUUAUAGCUAUGCUCUUUAGAA